AAAAAACAACUAACAUGUCAUCAUGUUAUUUAUUAAUAGUAAUAUUUAUUUUAGCAUACAAAUCAGGUGUGGCCCCCAAACAAAGACCGGUUCAAUCGGGUCCCACCGUUUCAAAACUCAACCUUCUCUGUAUUUCCUUUGGCAUGAACAACAAUGUCCGAAUUUCCCAAACUACCCUUCUCUUUCCCAUACAACCCAAACCAAACUCCCUCUCCGUUAUCCAAGGGUAUUUUUGUCAUCGUUCUUCGGACUCCCGGUUCGCCGUAUCCGAGACAUGUCACGAUAUUUUUCCAUUCCCGGUCUCUCCGUCAAAUCCCUUCCGUCCAUCCCAAAUCCAACGGUGCUAAAUGUUCCCACGUGUUAUCGACGCUGACGCCAUCAAACACUCCCGCGCGCCAACGUCGGCGCACGCGCGCCCCCGGCGGACUCACAUGCUUCCCACGCGCCGGCCCCUUCGCCGCCCUCUAAUACAUACGUGUGACCGUGAGAGAAAGCCCCAUUUAGGGUUAGGGUUAGGGUUUCGGUGUUCAUGGAGAGCUCGCCGCCGAGGAAGCCUCCCAACCCGGCGUUGCCGUAUCGUGAGGACUGCUGGAGCGAAGGAGAGACGUCGGUGCUCGUUGACGCUUGGGGCGAUCGGUACGUUGAGCUCAGCCGGGGGAAUCUCCGGCAGAAGCACUGGCAGGAGGUCGCUGAUGCUGUGAACUCGCGGCCGGCCGGAGCUCGCCGGCCGCCGCGCACCGACGUGCAGUGCAAGAACCGGAUCGAUACUCUUAAGAAGAAGUACAAGAUCGAGAAGGCCCGGAUCGUGGAUUCCGGCGGCGCCAUCACUAGCCAGUGGCAAUUCUUCACUCGCCUCGAUGCUCUCAUCGGUUCCUCCAUCUCCGGGUCGAAGAAACCUUCACCGCCUUCACCCCCGCCGCCGCUGGCCUUGCCGCUCCCGUACCACCGGAAGAGCUCCCCUCUUCCUCUCCCCGCCGCCGCUGCAGUCUCAUCCCGCCCGGAGAAGCGCCACCUCCCAGCACUGCCUCCUGUGAACGAUUCCUUCCGGAGAAGGUUUACCACCGCCGCCGCAGCAGCAGCCGCAGCUGCGGCUGCCUCUGUCGAGGUCGACACCGGAUCAUCGUCUAGGUCAUUUGGAUCACCGAGAUCCAGUCGGGAGCGGCCGGCGAAGAGGUGGAAGAAGGGAAGGGAGGAUGAAACGGACGGAAUCCGGGCACUGGCCCGCGCGAUCACGAGGUUUGGGGAGAUGUACGAGAAGGUGGAGGGGGCGAAGCAGCGGCAGAUGAUGGAGCUGGAGCGGCAGCGGAUGGAGUUCGCGAAGAACUUGGAGUUCCAGAGGAUGGAAAUCUUCGUUGAUUCACAGAUCAAGCUCGAGAAGAUCAAGCGAUCAGGGAGAUCAGACGCUGUUGAGCUUGGAUCUUUAGCUGCUCUUCCUUUCCUCUUCGAUUCCGUCUCCAUGAACCUGAUUGAAAAUUAUUCAACUUUUGCUCCAAAUCUGAAGGUGCUUGUUUGAUACUUUAUGUGUUGGACUUGUGAUUGAGGAGAGAUUGAAGCUUUUUUUAGGAUGGUGGUACUUCUUAUACACUUGAACAAACUUCAAAUUUGUAUGGAGGAUGAUGUUGUGAUUGAUGGCCAUUCAUUCACGAGGACCAGAUGAGAAGGAUUGAAGAAAUCACGGUUAUGAAACAAUAUAUAUAUAUAUAUCUGUAUAUUUGCAUACUAUUGUGGAAGGUCUAUGGGAACAAGGGGUGUGAAUUUACAGUGCUUGUGAAGCACUCGAGUUAAGAUGAUAUAAUUAUACCACAGCAUCUAACUUUGUUACCCAGUGAUCAUACUUAUUGAGAUAUGUGUUUUUAAAAUACAUGUCUUGGUA
RNA transcript from Dioscorea cayenensis subsp. rotundata (Guinea yam), 1873 nucleotides. It is a transcript of the gene named trihelix transcription factor ASIL2-like, with no coding region annotated. Lineage: Eukaryota; Viridiplantae; Streptophyta; Magnoliopsida; Dioscoreales; Dioscoreaceae. The record is from RefSeq and is a predicted model, not a curated record. The transcript has 4 exons.